Molecule: microRNA precursor, 109 nt
Filed under: Mustela putorius furo (domestic ferret)
Lineage: Eukaryota; Metazoa; Chordata; Mammalia; Carnivora; Mustelidae
Description: miRNA (ENSMPUG00000021935.1)
Source: RNAcentral
CCUUUGGAAGCUGUGGUUAUGGGGGCAGGAAGUGGAAGGGGAGCCCCCAUUUGCAAUGGUAAUUUUUCUUUCCCUUUCCAUCCGGGCAGGCUUCAGAGAACUUUACCAG